RNAcentral lists this unclassified non-coding RNA (286 nucleotides) under Hevea brasiliensis (rubber tree). The record is from RNAcentral. Lineage: Eukaryota; Viridiplantae; Streptophyta; Magnoliopsida; Malpighiales; Euphorbiaceae.
UUUUUCUUUUAGAGGUUCAAUUUUCAGGUGGUUUGCGAGUUACUGGUAUACAAAAUGGCUGCUUGUUCACCUCCGUCAAAGCGAAGGCGAAAGAAUCACGGCGAAGAUAAAGAUGAAGAGUCAUCAUCGCAGCCGCCGGUGGUUGUCUUUGCUCACGGCGCCGGUGCCCCUUCUUCUUCCGAUUGGAUGAUUAGAUGGAAGGACAUGUUGAAAAAUGCUUUGCAGGCUAUUGAAGUCGUCACAUUUGACUAUCCUUAUAUUUCUGGAGGAAAAAAGAGGGCUCCCC